This 209-nucleotide long non-coding RNA is filed under the name Chinchilla lanigera (long-tailed chinchilla). Its description in RNAcentral is "lncRNA (ENSCLAG00000028925.1)". The record is from RNAcentral. Lineage: Eukaryota; Metazoa; Chordata; Mammalia; Rodentia; Chinchillidae.
CUGUGGGUCCGGCUCUCAGAACUUAUGCCACUGGUUGUUGUGGGAGCAGGCAGAACUCUUUAGCAGAACGGACUUCUUAAGAGAUUGACAGUGCGACGAAAAUAUCAAAGGUGGAAGAUGGGAAAUCUGCCUCUCUUCUGUCACUGGUGUAUUGCCAACACUGAGUAAUGUCUAUCAUAUAUUAAGUGAAUAGUAAAUAAAUGUGGAAG